RNAcentral lists this long non-coding RNA (2588 nucleotides) under Homo sapiens (human). RNAcentral's name for it is "HSALNT0263304". The record is from RNAcentral. Lineage: Eukaryota; Metazoa; Chordata; Mammalia; Primates; Hominidae.
GGGAGGGGAACUAAGGCUGAGGCCAAGGAGAGGAAAUGACUCACACCGUGAGAGAGGAGUUGAGACCAGGGAGGCUGCUUGCUGUAUGAUGCAACUGAGAGGGUAGAACAAGGCUGGCACAGAGAAGGUGGGGAAGGAAAAGGAGAGACGAAGCUGAGAUUUCAGCAGGGCCAAGUCAGCCACCAGGAAACUGAGGCCCAAGAGUGAGGCAACUGGCCCAAGGGCACACAGCCAGCCUCCACCUGACUGGGACAAAGCCAUGCAGAGAGCUAGUGCUCCCUUCCUGCUAGACUUCAAGGAUGCCUGGUUCCUGUGCCCCAUCUCCAUCCAGCCCUCUCUUCUACACCUGGGACUGGACAUUUUUGCAAGAGACAGGAGCUGUGACUGUGCAUUCACUGCUGUAUCCCCAGCACCCAGCACUGGGCCUGCCACACAUCUACUCUCAGGAGUUAUCCUCUAGGGAGCAUGGUCAAGAAUGGCCCUGGGGACUUGCUUGUAAUAGAAAAACAAACUAACCAACCAACCAAAAAAGAUAUAGCCUAGAUGCCCAAAAGCCAGGACUGGCUGAAUCCGUUGCGUUUUGGCGUCCCUGGAAAUGUUCCGCAGUCAUGAAGGAGGAGGCAUUUGCACAGAAUUGGAAAGAUGCCCAGGACUUGGGGCACAUCAAGCCUAACCCCAUGUGUGGCAAGAGAAGAAAGAAAGUAUUAAUGUAAAUAAAGAGAAAUGGGGUGAACAUAUAGGAGAAGGCUGGAAAGACCGCAGUGGUGCCUGUGUUUGGGAAGAAUAUGAAAGAAAUUCCCUCAAGUGCUGUGACUUCUGCAGAGCAGGUUUGAGUGGAUGAAGAUGGAGAGGAGGAAGAUGGGGGCAGGAUGGAGGGCCCAACUUUCACUUUUAUUUUGUACAGGUUCCUGUUGUCCGAUGAUAUUAUAAUAAUCAAGAGACAUUUUUUGUAAUGGAUUUAGAAGCAAAGAGGAGUUUUUCAAAAGAAAGCCUUAGACUCAGCUCUUUCUUUUUGGACAUUUUAUCCUCCAGAUUUACUCACAUGUGUGUGAAAUGAGAUAUGGAAAUGUUACUCAUCGUAUCACUGGUUGGAUUAGUAAAAGGCUGGAAGCAACCUCAAUAUCCAUUAACUGGGGACUGGAGGAAUAAAAGCAGGGACCACAUAUGGUGGAGCAUUAUAAAGGUGGAGAAAAAAAUGAGCAAGCAUGUCAUGCAGUUAUAGAAUCUUUCCAAGGUAACUGAAUAAUAAUUUGUAGAAACAAGGUAUAAACAAGUAGUAGGCUACAUUUGGGCUUAAAAAGGAUAAAAAUGGGAAUGUACAGAUGCUCCAAAAUGUAUGAUGGGGCUAUGUCCUAAUAAAGCCAUCGUAAGUUGAAAAUGUCCUAAGUCAAAAACUCAUUUAAUACACCUAACCUGCUGAACAUCCUAGCUUAGCCUAGACCAUCUUAAACAUGCUUAGAACACUUACAUUAGCCUGUGAUUGGGCACGAUCAUCUAGCACAAAACCUAUUUUAUAACAAAAUGUUGAGUAGCUUAUGUAAGGUAUUGAUAUUGUACUGAAAGAGAAAAACCGAAUGGUUGUAUGGGUACUCAAAGUACGGUUUCUACUGCAUGUGUAUCACUUUCAUACCACUGUUAAGUCACAAAAUUGUAAGCCCAACCAUUGUAAGUUAGCAAUCUUCUGUAUGUAUGUGUUUGCAUAUUCAUAAGAAACCCUGGAAUGUCAGCUUAUAGGAUGUCAGCUUCACGAGGACAGGGGCUUUUGUCUCUUUGUUCACUUCUGUAUCCACAGUGUCUACAAUAGUGCCUGACACAUGAAAAGAGUUUGAAAAAUAAUUGUUGGUUGAAUGAAUGGAAGGAUACACAAGAAACUAGGAACAGUGGCUACCUCUGGCUUGGGUGGGUGGCUGAGAGACAGGGCUGGGAGGGAGACAUUUUACUGUAUAUCCACUUGUGCCAACUCAUUCUGCAGACUAAGAAAUUGAGUCCAGCUAGGGCAGAAGAAAUUUCCUCUGGACUCCCAAUUAUGCUGCAGGAAAAGAGAGAAUUGGGGCACACUGAAAUUCUAGAAUUCCUGCCCUGUCUUCAUGGGCCAAGAGUUUACCGAUGACAUCCUCCAUCCUCACUGAUUUCUAGACACCUAGUGUUAAUUUAGAGUCAUUGAAAGUGUCCCAGUCCUUGCCACUGAGACCUUGGGUUGGGAGAAUAAGAAGAUGGGCAGAUUGUCAUUAAUUGCACCCAGAUUAGAGAGAGCUGGGGGAUCUUAUGGCCUUAUCCUGAACCGGCAUGUGAACAACAACAUCUUGCCUGAUUCACAGGCCUGUGGCUUGUUCAGUGGGUAGAUUUUGCCUUCUCCAGAACCCUGACUUUGGCAGCUUUUUUUCUUCACUCAGCUUGAAACUGAGGUGAAAUCAGCCUUAGCUGCCAGAUUUUUCUGCUUUAUCUAAACCUCAUGACCGCUUUUUUUUUUUUUUUUUUGUAAUUUAAAGGGUGUUCCCCUGAUGCCCAUUUGCUUAUAAAUGCAAAGACUCUCUGAUAGUGUGGACAAGAACCUGGUAACUGUGGUUGUUUCUGGGAAAGGAAUCGUA